This 476-nucleotide ribosomal RNA is filed under the name uncultured bacterium. Its description in RNAcentral is "bacterial SSU rRNA". It matches the Rfam family "Bacterial small subunit ribosomal RNA", at positions 35 to 518 of the family's 1533-position model. The record is from RNAcentral.
GGACGAACGGCUGGCGGCGUGCCUAACACAUGCAAGUCGAGCGAGGAGAUUCCUUCGGGAUGAUCCUAGCGGCGGACGGGUGAGUAACACGUGGGCAACCUGCCUCAUAGAGAGGAAUAGCCUUCCGAAAGGGAGAUUAAUACCUCAUAACAUUGCAGUUUCGCAUGGAACAGCAAUUAAAGGAGUAAUCCGCUAUGAGAUGGGCCCGCGGCGCAUUAGCUAGUUGGUGAGGUAACGGCUCACCAAGGCGACGAUGCGUAGCCGACCUGAGAGGGUGAUCGGCCACAUUGGGACUGAGACACGGCCCAGACUCCUACGGGAGGCAGCAGUGGGGAAUAUUGCACAAUGGGGGAAACCCUGAUGCAAGCAACGCCGCGUGAGUGAUGACGGCCUUCGGGUUGUAAAGCUCUGUCUUCAGGGACGAUAAUGACGGUACCUGAGGAGGAAGCCACGGCUAACUACGUGCCAGCCGCAGC